RNAcentral lists this long non-coding RNA (1006 nucleotides) under Hordeum vulgare. RNAcentral's name for it is "long non-coding RNA (HVUL_LNC017002)". The record is from RNAcentral. Lineage: Eukaryota; Viridiplantae; Streptophyta; Magnoliopsida; Poales; Poaceae.
AAUAACCAGGCAUAGUGAUCAAGUUAUUGAUUCACAAGGGUACCGAUAAGUCUCGCCUCGAGUUUUCUUAUUUAUGGCGAAGCAAUAAGAAUUGUGUACAUGAACAAAAGGUACAAUGAUAGUUUAUUCAUGUAUGCGUAUGAUUCAACGUAGAUGUCCAGAUUCCGCUAUUGAUUAUUGACCAGACAGAGUUUCGGGUCAUGUAUGCACAUUAUUGAACUUGCGGGAUCACACGCUUACUGUUCACCAGUUUGUUGAGUACUAAAAAUGUGAGAAUCUUAGGAUAAAAUCACCAAAAAGAUUCUAGGGAGAUCGAAAAAGUUUCGGAGAUAGAACUAAAAGUGUUUCGGAGAAGUUUCGGAAAACCGGUGAAGUUUCCGCAAGAUUGGAAGAUCAUAAGUGCCAUUAGAAGCAGUGGGCAAGUACGCAACGUUGCCUCGCUUAUAUGGACAAACCGAGCAGGAGAUCGGCAUGCAUACUGCUUUCGUACACCUAAUAGACGGAUGAUGGCGGCGGCGGCGACACGGGCUUCACCAUCGUCUUCCAGCCGUUGGGGUCCGGCGAGGGUGGCUUCACCGGCGCCCUCUGGCCCAAGCGCCGGCCGGCUCCCACACCUUGCUCCCUCCUCUCUCGUGGCGUCCACUGCGCCGGCCGGCUACCCCGUGCACCCGCGUCGGCGUCGCCACCCAGUAGCAGCACUGCGACAACGGCCAUCGAUCCAUGCAAUUCAUACACACACCGACACAUAAAUUGGGAUUUGAAACUGGCAGAGCAAAUCAAGUCAUUGUAUAUACUCAUACCUGGAGGAGAACGCGGCGCCGGCGGGUACGUGGCCAGCAGGACCAGGAGGCCGGCGGCAAGGAGGACCGCGUGGACGGCCGUCCGGCGAUGCAUCGGUCGAGCUGUAGGUGGAUCCGAGACCACCACCGGACUCUGUAGGUGGAUCCGAGAUCAGUACAGCUCCGGCCAGUAGCGCGCCACUGAGAGACAGUGCAAGACUCUGGAG